AUUGAACGCUGGCGGCAUGCUUUACACAUGCAAGUCGAACGGUAACAGGUUAAGCUGACGAGUGGCGAACGGGUGAGUAAUGCAUCGGAACGUGCCCGGUCGUGGGGGAUAACGCAGCGAAAGCUGCGCUAAUACCGCAUACGAUCUGAGGAUGAAAGCGGGGGACCGUAAGGCCUCGCGCGAUCGGAGCGGCCGAUGUCAGAUUAGGUAGUUGGUGGGGUAAAGGCUCACCAAGCCGACGAUCUGUAGCUGGUCUGAGAUGACGACCAGCCAGACUGGUACUGAGACACGGCCCAGACUCCUACGGGAGGCAGCAGUGGGGAAUUUUGGACAAUGGGCGCAAGCCUGAUACAGCAAUGCCGCGUGCAGGAAGAAGGACUUCGGGUUGUAAACUGCUUUUGUACGGAGCGAAAAGGCUCUCUCUAAUACAGGGGGCUCAUGACGGUACCGUAAGAAUAAGCACCGGCUAACUACGUGCCAGCAGCCGCCGUAA
RNAcentral lists this ribosomal RNA (493 nucleotides) under uncultured bacterium. RNAcentral's name for it is "partial 16S ribosomal RNA". It matches the Rfam family "Bacterial small subunit ribosomal RNA", at positions 30 to 523 of the family's 1533-position model. The record is from RNAcentral.